CCAAACUUGGUCAUUUAGAGGAAGUAAAAGUCGUAACAAGGUCUCCGUUGGUGAACCAGCGGAGGGAUCAUUACCGAGUUCUCGCCCCUCGCGGGGUAGACCUCCCACCCACUGUGAUCACUACCGUCGUUGCUUUGGCGGGCCGCUGGGCCCUGCCCGCCGCCGGCCCCGGCUGGCGCGCGCCCGCCAGAGGCUCUACGAACGCUAGAUAUCAGUGCCGUCUGAGUACACAUGUUAAUCGUUAAAACUUUCAACAACGGAUCUCUUGGUUCUGGCAUCGAUGAAGAACGCAGC
This 294-nucleotide unclassified non-coding RNA is filed under the name uncultured fungus. RNAcentral describes it as "partial contains small subunit ribosomal RNA, internal transcribed spacer 1, and 5.8S ribosomal RNA". The stretch from base 1 to 73 matches the Rfam family "Eukaryotic small subunit ribosomal RNA", at positions 1759 to 1831 of the family's 1831-position model. The record is from RNAcentral. Lineage: Eukaryota; Fungi.